CUACAUUACAGCUGAGCUAAGGAUAGUUUUGAUACAGGAAGUCUACUUUGCAGAAGUUAUAAAUUCUAACCAAUUGUAAAGGUAUGAUGUUUUCAAAAUAUUGUUAGUUGUUUUAUGAUUACUUGGCAUUUUUAGCCAAUACACAAGCUCCUAAUUUUGCCAUUUUCUUAAUACACGCACUAGUCAGAUCUAAACUAGAAAACAAAGUAUAGUUUCAUUGAAAGACAAUAUACUGAAAGGUUACAUUAAAAACUAUAUAAACUUCUCAAUAAAUUUGAAUAUUUAAAGCAAUUUACAAUCUAAACUAACAUUGAGAAUUUCCAAUGAACUCAUCAUAAAUACCAGGGUUAAAUUUUGUAUAUACGCCAGAUGCGCGUUUCGUCUACAAAAGACUCAUCAGUGACGUUCGAAUCCAAAGAAGUUAAAAAGGGCCGAAUUACGUACGAAGUUAAAGAACAUUGAUGACCAAAAUUUCUUAAAGUUUCCAAGCCAUUUCAUCUAGAGCACAAUAGAAAAGUAACAAUUGCGAUUAUUUGGUUAAAAAACCCAAGUGUUGAUUGCUCAAAGCUGAAGUAAUUCUAAAAAGUAAUUCUGAAAAAUCCGCACGAAGUUCAUCAACAUAUGUUAAUCUUGUUAACACAUCGUGUUCAAUAUAAUGGAACUUGAUGCGACUGUCAUACAAGUGGAUGUUAUCUAGUUAUAAAACCAGGUUCAAACAUAGUCUACAUACGGAAAUGCCUAUACGAAGUCAGGAAUAUGCCAGCUGUUACUUAUUCGUUUUGCGUGUUUGAGCAUUUGAUUUUGCCAUUUGAUUAGGGACUUUCCUUCUUUGAUUUUCUUCUGUGUUCAGUAUGUUUGUGAUUUUACUUUUAACAUGCGAUGCAUUAUUUGUUUACCGUUUUGUGAAAUAUUAUUUCCCUGGCGGAACACACAAUGUAAGGGAAUAAUUUGAGAUGAGAUCCUUAGAGCCAGAUGAGAUAAUGUUCUAAUGGCUAUUUGGCGUAAACCUCUUUACAUUUGAACUUAAAUUUAACGCCUGUAUUUAAUUUUCGAUAAGAAUAUUCUUAUAUCCAAGAGGUCACAAUAAAGUGUCAGAGUGUUUACCAAAUGUUUAUGUCUCUAAAAAUUAUGUAUUUGGUUCAACAUUGCAAGCCUAAUCUAUUAGUAUAAAUAUUGUUUUUCUUAAAAUUUUUAAGACAAGUAUAUUUAUGACAUAUUUCCCUUGAAAUAACGGUAAAUAUAUUCAACAUUUGUUUUCAUUUGAUAAAUUACAGUGUUACCUAUCGAUUAUUUGUAAGCAAAAAUACCUUGUUUUCUAACCUGUCCUGUUUUAACACAUUUUUGUUAAACCUCACACAAUUUGGAAUAGUUUGAUGUCCUUCUUUUAUAUUUCUAGCAACUAAUACAAAAUUUGUUUAUGAUUACAAAUUCAAAAAAAUUGUGUGUGUGUUAAGGAUGUAACUUUCGGACAAUAUAAAAUGCAACUUGCAUCCAGAUUUUUGUGUUUUCUUUAAAAAAAGAAAUGUAAUCGGGAUUAAACAUAUUUAGACCGUACAUGUAUUUCUUUAUAUUUGUUGUAGAUGUGGACAUCACUUUGGUUGUACCCUGUUCUUUUAUUGGUAGUUCCUUUAACUAACAUAGGAAGGUGUAACGAUGAACAGAGACAACAGGUCUUCUGUAGAGAAAUCAAUCAAAACUGCAGUACCAAUAUGAAUGAACUAGAUGUUGAAUGGGGCAAUUGUUUGUCGGCUUUAAGCCAACCCCAAUGUAGAGCCAACCCGCUGUGUAUGGUUGAUUCUAUGCCGUGUAUGUUAAACUUUACAGCUUUUUUGGGACAGUUGGAUUUAUAGCUUCUGAAUAAAACAUGGGAAAAUAAGAGUG
RNAcentral lists this long non-coding RNA (1881 nucleotides) under Mytilus galloprovincialis (Mediterranean mussel). The record is from RNAcentral. Lineage: Eukaryota; Metazoa; Mollusca; Bivalvia; Mytilida; Mytilidae.